This 304-nucleotide ribosomal RNA is filed under the name Brunneria sp. MN362. RNAcentral's name for it is "partial 12S ribosomal RNA". Lineage: Eukaryota; Metazoa; Arthropoda; Insecta; Mantodea; Mantidae. The record is from RNAcentral.
AUAGAUAUAAUCUUUAAACUUAAAGAAUUUGGCGGUAUUAUAGUCUAUUUAGAGGAAUCUGUUAUGUAAUCGAUAGUCCACGUUGAACCUUACUUAUAUUAUUUCUUGUAUAUCGCUGUUUAGAGAAUACUUUUAGGUUAAAUAUUUUCUUAAAUAAUAUUAUUUAAUAAUUCAAGUCAAGGGUGCAGUAAUAUAUAAGUUGAAUAAUGGAUUNACAAUAAAUUUUUAUUUAAAUGGAUGAUGAAUUUAAUAUAAUUUUGAAGGUGGAAUUUAAAAGUAAUUUUUAUAAAGAUUGUUAAAAUGA